UACAGAGGUCUCAAGCGUUGUUCGGAUUCAUUGGGCGUAAAGGGUGCGUAGGCGGCGGUGCAAGUCAGGUGUGAAAUCCCGGGGCUCAACCCCGGAACUGCACUUGAUACUGCUCCGCUUGAGUACUGGAGAGGAGACUGGAAUUUACGGUGUAGCAGUGAAAUGCGUAGAUAUCGUAAGGAAGACCAGUGGCGAAGGCGAGUCUCUGGACAGUUACUGACGCUGAGGCACGAAGGCCAGGGGAGCAAACAGG
This 253-nucleotide ribosomal RNA is filed under the name uncultured bacterium. Its description in RNAcentral is "partial 16S ribosomal RNA". It matches the Rfam family "Bacterial small subunit ribosomal RNA", at positions 524 to 776 of the family's 1533-position model. The record is from RNAcentral.